This 294-nucleotide long non-coding RNA is filed under the name Homo sapiens (human). RNAcentral's name for it is "HSALNT0059246". Lineage: Eukaryota; Metazoa; Chordata; Mammalia; Primates; Hominidae. The record is from RNAcentral.
UGACUCCUGCCUGCUACAUUUCCCCAGAUACCCAGGACCUUCAUGCUGUCACUCUCCAUGACCUGACCAACAUCUAUUUUGAGAAAUUAUUUUAUAUACUCAUUCAAACAGGUUACUUAUUGGUUAUUUAGAAAUUCUGGAUAAAGACUCACAAGUCAAGCGGGGGUGAUGGAAGAUAUUGAAAUGUCUCCCCGUGGCAUAUUCAGUGAAGAAAGUCACUACAUGUUGACAGAUUCCAGUAACCAUUGCUGUGCUGUAAAAAUUGGUUUCACUUACCUAGAAAAGGAAAACAAG